UUGUCUCAAAGAUUAAGCCAUGCAUGUCUCAGUACAAGCCACAUUAAGGUGAAACCGCGAAAGGCUCAUUAAAUCAGUUAUGGUUCCUUAGAUCGUACCCACACUUACUUGGAUAACUGUGGUAAUUCUAGAGCUAAUACAUGCAAACAGAGCUCCGACCGGAGACGGGAGGAGUGCUUUUAUUAGAUCAAAACCAAUCGGCGGCGGGCGCGCUCGCGCGUCCGUUCGCCGCUCAACCUGGUGACUCUGAAUAACUUUCCGCUGAUCGCACGGUCUCGCACCGGCGACGCAUCUUUCAAAUGUCUGCCUUAUCAACUGUCGAUGGUAGGUUCUGCGCCUACCAUGGUCGUAACGGGUAACGGGGAAUCAGGGUUCGAUUCCGGAGAGGGAGCCUGAGAAACGGCUACCACAUCCAAGGAAGGCAGCAGGCGCGCAAAUUACCCACUCCCGGCACGGGGAGGUAGUGACGAAAAAUAACGAUACGGGACUCAUCCGAGGCCCCGUAAUCGGAAUGAGUACACUUUAAAUCCUUUAACAAGGACCCAUUGGAGGGCAAGUCUGGUGCCAGCAGCCGCGGUAAUUCCAGCUCCAAUAGCGUA
This 599-nucleotide ribosomal RNA is filed under the name Hydroporus nigrita. RNAcentral describes it as "SSU rRNA". It matches the Rfam family "Eukaryotic small subunit ribosomal RNA", at positions 32 to 601 of the family's 1831-position model. RNAcentral also lists the same sequence under 1 other name. The record is from RNAcentral. Lineage: Eukaryota; Metazoa; Arthropoda; Insecta; Coleoptera; Dytiscidae.